AUACGGAGGGGACAAGCGUUAUUCGGAAUCACUGGGCGUAAAGGACGCGUAGGCGGGUUAUUAAGUCGGGUGUGAAAUCCAAUGGCUCAACCAUUGAACUGCAUUCGAAACUGAUAACCUAGAGUAUGGAAGGGGCAGGUGGAAUUAGUGGUGUAGGGGUAAAAUCCGUAGAUAUCACUAGGAAUACCGAAAGCGAAGGCGACCUGCUGGGACAUUACUGACGCUGAGGCGUGAAAGCGUGGGGAGCAAACAGGAUUAGAUACCCGGGUAGUCC
RNAcentral lists this ribosomal RNA (274 nucleotides) under uncultured bacterium. Its description in RNAcentral is "partial 16S ribosomal RNA". It matches the Rfam family "Bacterial small subunit ribosomal RNA", at positions 523 to 796 of the family's 1533-position model. The record is from RNAcentral.